RNAcentral lists this ribosomal RNA (253 nucleotides) under uncultured bacterium. RNAcentral's name for it is "partial 16S ribosomal RNA". It matches the Rfam family "Bacterial small subunit ribosomal RNA", at positions 524 to 776 of the family's 1533-position model. The record is from RNAcentral.
UACGGAAGGUGCAAGCGUUGUUCGGAAUGACUGGGCGUAAAAAGCACGUAGGUUGGUUUAUAAGUCAGAUGUGAAAACCCAGGGCUCAACCCUGGACUAGCAUUUGAAACUGUAGAUCUUGAAUGCCUGAGGGGUUAGUGGAAUUCCCGGUGUAGGAGUGAAAUCCGUAGAUAUCGGGAGGAACACCAGUGGCGAAGGCGGCUAACUGGCAGAGCAUUGACGCUGAGGUGCGAAAGCGUGGGUAGCAAACAGG